GGCUCGAUAGCUCAGUUGGUUAGAAUGCGCUGCUGAUCUUGCCAAGGUUGCAGGUUCGAUCCCCGUACGGGACA
This is a non-coding RNA of Podarcis lilfordi (Lilford's wall lizard), 74 nucleotides long. The record is from the annotation of a GenBank genome assembly. NCBI's taxonomy places the organism in Eukaryota, Metazoa, Chordata, Lepidosauria, Squamata, Lacertidae.